This 356-nucleotide long non-coding RNA is filed under the name Vigna radiata. RNAcentral's name for it is "long non-coding RNA (VRAD_LNC012843)". Lineage: Eukaryota; Viridiplantae; Streptophyta; Magnoliopsida; Fabales; Fabaceae. The record is from RNAcentral.
CAAGUCAAACCAUAUUCACAAAUAAUGUUCAAGCCAAGCACAGACACCUACAACAAAAUUCAACAUAUUCUAAAAAUUCAAAGUACAAAAGAAAAAGAUAAAACCCCUGUCCUAAGCACUGGCAUCCGUCAGUAGAUACCCUCUCAACUAAUGUCAUCAUUUGAGUCCUCCUGAUCUCCAGCUUCCACAUCCUCAAAGUCAUCCUCCUCAUCAUCCUCAUCCAUGUCUAGUGCUUCAGCUGCUUUAGAUCCGCUACCUCAUGCCUGCUCUUGAGGCCAAGCCAUAACACUAUGGAACUCAUCCAUAGUCCACCUGUGCACCGGUGGUGUAUCAUACAACCCCACUAUCAUCUCGGC